GACGAACGCUGGCGGCGUGCUUAACACAUGCAAGUCGAACGGAAAGGCCCUGCUUUUGUGGGGUGCUCGAGUGGCGAACGGGUGAGUAACACGUGAGUAACCUGCCCUUGACUUUGGGAUAACUUCAGGAAACUGGGGCCAAUACCGGAUAGGAGCUCCUGCUGCAUGGUGGGGGUUGGAAAGUUUCGGCGGUUGGGGAUGGACUCGCGGCUUAUCAGCUUGUCGGUGGGGUAGUGGCUUACCAAGGCUUUGACGGGUAGCCGGCCUGAGAGGGUGACCGGCCACAUUGGGACUGAGAUACGGCCCAGACUCCUACGGGAGGCAGCAGUGGGGAAUAUUGCACAAUGGGCGGAAGCCUGAUGCAGCAACGCCGCGUGCGGGAUGACGGCCUUCGGGUUGUAAACCGCUUUCGCCUGUGACGAAGCGUGAGUGACGGUAAUGGGUAAAGAAGCACCGGCUAACUACGUG
RNAcentral lists this ribosomal RNA (468 nucleotides) under uncultured bacterium. Its description in RNAcentral is "partial 16S ribosomal RNA". It matches the Rfam family "Bacterial small subunit ribosomal RNA", at positions 28 to 507 of the family's 1533-position model. The record is from RNAcentral.